GGGUUGCUAACUCAACGGUAGAGUACUCGGCUUUUAAUCUACUCCAUCCGACUAGUUCCGGGUUCGAGUCCCGGGCAACCCA
This 82-nucleotide transfer RNA is filed under the name Mangifera longipes. Its description in RNAcentral is "tRNA-Lys". It matches the Rfam family "tRNA". From Rfam's summary of the family: Transfer RNA (tRNA) molecules are approximately 80 nucleotides in length. Their secondary structure includes four short double-helical elements and three loops (D, anti-codon, and T loops). Lineage: Eukaryota; Viridiplantae; Streptophyta; Magnoliopsida; Sapindales; Anacardiaceae. The record is from RNAcentral.